GCUGGGCGCUGUGGAGUGUGCCUGUAGUCCCAGCUACUCGGGAGGCUGAGGUGGGAGGAUCGCUUGAGCCCAGGAGUUCUGGGCUGUGGUGUGCUAUGCUGAUCGGUGUCCGCACUAAGUUCUUCAUCAGUGUGGUGACUUCCCGGGAGUUGGGGACCACCAGGUUGCUUGCCUAAGGAGGGGUAAACCGGCCCAGAUCGGAAAUGGAGCAGGUCAAAACUCCCAUGCUGAUCAGCAGUGGGAUGGCGCCUGUGAAUAGCCACUGCACUCCAGCCUGGGCAACAUUGUGAGACCCCUGACCUCU
This 304-nucleotide signal recognition particle RNA is filed under the name Saimiri boliviensis boliviensis (Bolivian squirrel monkey). RNAcentral describes it as "Metazoan signal recognition particle RNA (ENSSBOG00000008007.1)". It matches the Rfam family "Metazoan signal recognition particle RNA". From Rfam's summary of the family: The signal recognition particle (SRP) is a universally conserved ribonucleoprotein. It is involved in the co-translational targeting of proteins to membranes. Lineage: Eukaryota; Metazoa; Chordata; Mammalia; Primates; Cebidae. The record is from RNAcentral.